Molecule: ribosomal RNA, 194 nt
Filed under: uncultured bacterium
Lineage: Bacteria
Description: partial 16S ribosomal RNA
Rfam family: Bacterial small subunit ribosomal RNA
Source: RNAcentral
GCCUACGGGAGGCAGCAGGGGGAAUAUUGCACAAUGGGCGAAAGCCUGAUGCAGCUAUGCCGCGUGUAUGAAGAAGGCCUUAGGGUUGUAAAGUACUUUCAGCGGGGAGGAAAAAAAUAAAUCUAAUAAAUUUAUUUCGUGACGUUACCCGCAGAAGAAGCACCGGCUAACUCCGUGCCAGCAGCCGCGGUAAU